GAUGAACGCUGGCGGCGUGCCUAAUACAUGCAAGUCGAACGAAACUUCUUUAUCACCGAGUGCUUGCACUCACCGAUAAAGAGUUGAGUGGCGAACGGGUGAGUAACACGUGGGCAACCUGCCCAAAAGAGGGGGAUAACACUUGGAAACAGGUGCUAAUACCGCAUAACCAUAGUUACCGCAUGGUAACUAUGUAAAAGGUGGCUAUACUACCGCUUUUGGAUGGGCCCGCGGCGCAUUAGCUAGUUGGUAGGGUAAAGGCUUACCAAGGCAAUGAUGCGUAGCCGAAUUGAGAGGUUGAUCGGCCACAUUGGGACUGAGACACGGCCCAAACUCCUACGGGAGGCAGCAGUAGGGAAUCUUCCACAAUGGGCGAAAGCUUGAUGGAGCAACGCCGCGUGGGUGAAGAAGGUCUUCGGAUCGUAAAACCCUGUUGUUAGAGAAGAAAGUGCGUGAGAGUAACUGUUCACGUUUCGACGGUAUCUAACCAGAAAGCCACGGCUAACUACGUG
RNAcentral lists this ribosomal RNA (512 nucleotides) under uncultured bacterium. RNAcentral's name for it is "partial 16S ribosomal RNA". It matches the Rfam family "Bacterial small subunit ribosomal RNA", at positions 28 to 507 of the family's 1533-position model. The record is from RNAcentral.